RNAcentral lists this long non-coding RNA (304 nucleotides) under Selaginella moellendorffii. RNAcentral's name for it is "long non-coding RNA (SMOE_LNC001709)". The record is from RNAcentral. Lineage: Eukaryota; Viridiplantae; Streptophyta; Lycopodiopsida; Selaginellales; Selaginellaceae.
UUAAUGGCUAAGCAAUCUCUGGACGUGGGUAACGUAUUUUUUCAUGCGUUUUGUUACACAGUUCUUUUGCGGAGGCGACAUGGAACUCCUGCAAAGGUAGACUUAUAUUUUUCUUUUGUGCAGUCAUUUCUACCUUGAGACUGAUUUGUGCUAUCAUCCAUCGUUGGUGCCGUGGUUCUCGCAAGAAAAUUCGGGCAUCUUAUUUAAAUCCCUUAGUCUCAUGCUGCUUGGGGGUGCUACUAGACCAUGGAAACAGUAUAUGAAUGAAUGAAUGAAUGAAUGAAUGAAAGCUCAAUCAACAUGU